This 408-nucleotide ribosomal RNA is filed under the name uncultured bacterium. Its description in RNAcentral is "partial 16S ribosomal RNA". It matches the Rfam family "Bacterial small subunit ribosomal RNA", at positions 28 to 526 of the family's 1533-position model. The record is from RNAcentral.
GACGAACGCUGGCGGCGUGCUUAACACAUGAAAGUCGAACGAAGUGGCGAACGGGUGAGUCACGCGUAAUCAACCUGCCCUUCAGAGGGGGACAACAGUUGGAAACGACUGCUAAUACCGCAUACUGAAGGAGGGGAUUGCGUCUGAUUUGCUAGUUGGAGGGGUAACGGCCCACCAAGGUGAGGGUCAGUAGCCGUGCUGGUAGGAGGAACGGCCACAUUGGGACUGGGACACGGCCCAGACGCCUACGGGAGGCAGCAGUGGUGAAUCUUCCGCAAUGGACGAAAGUCUGACGGAGCAACGCCGCGUGAGUGAUGACGGCCUUCGGGUUGUAAAGCUCUGUUAAUCGGGACGCGGUACCGGAAUAGAAAGCCACGGCUAACUACGUGCCAGCAGCCGCGGUAAUUC